RNAcentral lists this ribosomal RNA (344 nucleotides) under Salmonella enterica. Its description in RNAcentral is "bacterial SSU rRNA". It matches the Rfam family "Bacterial small subunit ribosomal RNA", at positions 1199 to 1533 of the family's 1533-position model. The record is from RNAcentral. Lineage: Bacteria; Pseudomonadati; Pseudomonadota; Gammaproteobacteria; Enterobacterales; Enterobacteriaceae.
CCCUUAUGUCCAGGGCUUCACACAUGCUACAAUGGCCGGUACAAAGGGCUGCGAUGCCGCGAGGUUAAGCGAAUCCUUAAAAGCCGGUCUCAGUUCGGAUCGGGGUCUGCAACUCGACCCCGUGAAGUCGGAGUCGCUAGUAAUCGCAGAUCAGCAACGCUGCGGUGAAUACGUUCCCGGGCCUUGUACACACCGCCCGUCACGUCAUGAAAGUCGGUAACACCCGAAGCCAGUGGCCUAACCCUCGGGAGGGAGCUGUCGAAGGUGGGAUCGGCGAUUGGGACGAAGUCGUAACAAGGUAGCCGUACCGGAAGGUGCGGCUGGAUCACCUCCUUUCUAAGGAG